GAACGGCAGCGGGUAGGAAGCUUGCUUCCUAUGCCGGCGAGUGGCGAACGGGUGAGUAAUGCAUCGGAAUCUACCUGUCCGUGGGGGAUAACGUAGGGAAACUUACGCUAAUACCGCAUACGUCCUACGGGAGAAAGCGGGGGACCGAAAGGCCUCGCGCGGACAGAUGAGCCGAUGUCCGAUUAGCUAGUUGGCGGGGUAAUGGCCCACCAAGGCGACGAUCGGUAGCUGGUCUGAGAGGAUGAUCAGCCACACUGGGACUGAGACACGGCCCAGACUCCUGCGGGAGGCAGCAGUGGGGAAUAUUGGACAAUGGGCGAAAGCCUGAUCCAGCCAUGCCGCGUGGGUGAAGAAGGCCUUCGGGUUGUAAAGCCCUUUUGUUGGGGAAGAAAUCCUGCUGGCUAAUACCCGGCGGGGAUGACGGUACCCAAAGAAUAAGCACCGGCUAACUUCGUGC
Molecule: ribosomal RNA, 457 nt
Filed under: uncultured bacterium
Lineage: Bacteria
Description: bacterial SSU rRNA
Rfam family: Bacterial small subunit ribosomal RNA
Source: RNAcentral